GCGCUCUGGGAGGGCCUCGCGGCCUAUCAGCUUGUUGGCGGGGUAACGGCCCACCAAGGCUACGACGGGUAGCUGGUCUGAGAGGACGAUCAGCCACACUGGGACUGAGACACGGCCCAG
Molecule: ribosomal RNA, 120 nt
Filed under: uncultured bacterium
Lineage: Bacteria
Description: partial 16S ribosomal RNA
Rfam family: Bacterial small subunit ribosomal RNA
Source: RNAcentral